RNAcentral lists this ribosomal RNA (1538 nucleotides) under Vibrio parahaemolyticus VP250. RNAcentral's name for it is "bacterial SSU rRNA". It matches the Rfam family "Bacterial small subunit ribosomal RNA". The record is from RNAcentral. Lineage: Bacteria; Pseudomonadati; Pseudomonadota; Gammaproteobacteria; Vibrionales; Vibrionaceae.
GAGUUUGAUCAUGGCUCAGAUUGAACGCUGGCGGCAGGCCUAACACAUGCAAGUCGAGCGGAAACGAGUUAUCUGAACCUUCGGGGAACGAUAACGGCGUCGAGCGGCGGACGGGUGAGUAAUGCCUAGGAAAUUGCCCUGAUGUGGGGGAUAACCAUUGGAAACGAUGGCUAAUACCGCAUGAUGCCUACGGGCCAAAGAGGGGACCUUCGGGCCUCUCGCGUCAGGAUAUGCCUAGGUGGGAUUAGCUAGUUGGUGAGGUAAGGGCUCACCAAGGCGACGAUCCCUAGCUGGUCUGAGAGGAUGAUCAGCCACACUGGAACUGAGACACGGUCCAGACUCCUACGGGAGGCAGCAGUGGGGAAUAUUGCACAAUGGGCGCAAGCCUGAUGCAGCCAUGCCGCGUGUGUGAAGAAGGCCUUCGGGUUGUAAAGCACUUUCAGUCGUGAGGAAGGUAGUGUAGUUAAUAGCUGCAUUAUUUGACGUUAGCGACAGAAGAAGCACCGGCUAACUCCGUGCCAGCAGCCGCGGUAAUACGGAGGGUGCGAGCGUUAAUCGGAAUUACUGGGCGUAAAGCGCAUGCAGGUGGUUUGUUAAGUCAGAUGUGAAAGCCCGGGGCUCAACCUCGGAAUUGCAUUUGAAACUGGCAGACUAGAGUACUGUAGAGGGGGGUAGAAUUUCAGGUGUAGCGGUGAAAUGCGUAGAGAUCUGAAGGAAUACCGGUGGCGAAGGCGGCCCCCUGGACAGAUACUGACACUCAGAUGCGAAAGCGUGGGGAGCAAACAGGAUUAGAUACCCUGGUAGUCCACGCCGUAAACGAUGUCUACUUGGAGGUUGUGGCCUUGAGCCGUGGCUUUCGGAGCUAACGCGUUAAGUAGACCGCCUGGGGAGUACGGUCGCAAGAUUAAAACUCAAAUGAAUUGACGGGGGCCCGCACAAGCGGUGGAGCAUGUGGUUUAAUUCGAUGCAACGCGAAGAACCUUACCUACUCUUGACAUCCAGAGAACUUUCCAGAGAUGGAUUGGUGCCUUCGGGAACUCUGUGACAGGUGCUGCAUGGCUGUCGUCAGCUCGUGUUGUGAAAUGUUGGGUUAAGUCCCGCAACGAGCGCAACCCUUAUCCUUGUUUGCCAGCGAGUAAUGUCGGGAACUCCAGGGAGACUGCCGGUGAUAAACCGGAGGAAGGUGGGGACGACGUCAAGUCAUCAUGGCCCUUACGAGUAGGGCUACACACGUGCUACAAUGGCGCAUACAGAGGGCGGCCAACUUGCGAAAGUGAGCGAAUCCCAAAAAGUGCGUCGUAGUCCGGAUUGGAGUCUGCAACUCGACUCCAUGAAGUCGGAAUCGCUAGUAAUCGUGGAUCAGAAUGCCACGGUGAAUACGUUCCCGGGCCUUGUACACACCGCCCGUCACACCAUGGGAGUGGGCUGCAAAAGAAGUAGGUAGUUUAACCUUCGGGGGGACGCUUACCACUUUGUGGUUCAUGACUGGGGUGAAGUCGUAACAAGGUAGCGCUAGGGGAACCUGGCGCUGGAUCACC